Molecule: ribosomal RNA, 484 nt
Filed under: uncultured bacterium
Lineage: Bacteria
Description: partial 16S ribosomal RNA
Rfam family: Bacterial small subunit ribosomal RNA
Source: RNAcentral
AUUGAACGCUGGCGGCAGGCCUAACACAUGCAAGUCGAGCGGAUGAAGGGAGCUUGCUCCUGGAUUCAGCGGCGGACGGGUGAGUAAUGCCUAGGAAUCUGCCUGGUAGUGGGGGAUAACGUCCGGAAACGGGCGCUAAUACCGCAUACGUCCUGAGGGAGAAAGUGGGGGAUCUUCGGACCUCACGCUAUCAGAUGAGCCUAGGUCGGAUUAGCUAGUUGGUGGGGUAAAGGCCUACCAAGGCGACGAUCCGUAACUGGUCUGAGAGGAUGAUCAGUCACACUGGAACUGAGACACGGUCCAGACUCCUACGGGAGGCAGCAGUGGGGAAUAUUGGACAAAGGGCGAAAGCCUGAUCCAGCCAUGCCGCGUGUGUGAAGAAGGUCUUCGGAUUGUAAAGCACUUUAAGUUGGGAGGAAGGGCAGUAAGUUAAUACCUUGCUGUUUUGACGUUACCAACAGAAUAAGCUCCGGCUAACUUCGUG